CUCCCUCUCUCUUCCUUCUUCUUCCCCAGCUGCAAAAGCAUCCCAAAUAAUUCUUCCCCGCUUCUCUCCGCGGCACACCCAAACUCCCUCCCUGUCUCUCCCUUAUUCUUCUUCCCCGGCGACGACAACUCUAUUUUGUCGCUUCGACUCCGUCUUCCUCUGCGUCAACUGCGACUCUCAUCACCCUGCGUCUAGCCCCUGCGAGGUCUACGAGCAAACUCCAGGACCGAGAGACCAAGGUGAGCAGGGAGGAUGGCAAGGCUGCUCUCGAACCUAAAGGCUAUGGAGAAUCCGGAUCUAAACUCAGGUCAUAGAAAUGGAUCCAUAUCUGGAUCUAGACUACCAGCAUGUGGAUCCGAUGCUUGAAGAAGUUCAGGAGCAGGACAUCUGCAGCACGGACGCAGUCGGUUUGGUGUGGCGGUCGUGAAGAUGGAGGGGAUAGCGCCCCGACUAAUUAUCCCGAGCUUUUGUGGUGUUUUAAUAGUACGAUGUCAACCGUAUAAAAUUUGAUAGACCGGAUAAUUAAGCGGGUGCUUAGUUAGUACUAUAGUGCACCAAACAAGUGCUCCCGUAUUAUUUAUCCUAUCCGAUGCUUUAUACGGCGUGCCAAACGAGGCC
This 618-nucleotide long non-coding RNA is filed under the name Malus domestica (apple). Its description in RNAcentral is "long non-coding RNA (MDOM_LNC004709)". Lineage: Eukaryota; Viridiplantae; Streptophyta; Magnoliopsida; Rosales; Rosaceae. The record is from RNAcentral.